Molecule: transfer RNA, 74 nt
Filed under: Sulfurimonas hongkongensis
Lineage: Bacteria; Pseudomonadati; Campylobacterota; Epsilonproteobacteria; Campylobacterales; Sulfurimonadaceae
Rfam family: tRNA
About the family: Transfer RNA (tRNA) molecules are approximately 80 nucleotides in length. Their secondary structure includes four short double-helical elements and three loops (D, anti-codon, and T loops).
Source: Rfam by way of RNAcentral
GACCCUUUCGUCUAGUUGGCCAAGGACGCUAUCACUUCAUGGUAGAGACAGAGGUUCAAAUCCUUUAGGGGUCG